ACCUUUUCCUCAUUCCUUGCUAUAAUAUCCUCAAAAGUGUACUUAUUUCUGAUGAAAAAUUGGUCAAGGCUUUGAAGCGCUCAAACGGGAUUGUUGUUUCCUCAUUGCCUGAGAAUUUGUCAGUUAAUUCAUUAAUCCUAAGAGAAAAUGGAGUGCCUCAAUCUAUCAUCUCUUAUUUGUUGAUCUAUAAACCUUCCGUGGCAUGCAUGAAUCCUGCCAAAUUUAGGCAACUUGUUAACAAGGUUAUUGAUAUUGGAUUUGACCCUCUGAAGUCUACAUUUGCACAUGCACAGGC
This 295-nucleotide unclassified non-coding RNA is filed under the name Hevea brasiliensis (rubber tree). The record is from RNAcentral. Lineage: Eukaryota; Viridiplantae; Streptophyta; Magnoliopsida; Malpighiales; Euphorbiaceae.